AGUGAACGCUGGCGGUAGGCCUAACACAUGCAAGUCGAACGGCAGCACAGUAAGAGCUUGCUCUUACGGGUGGCGAGUGGCGGACGGGUGAGGAAUACAUCGGAAUCUAUUUUUUCGUGGGGGAUAACGUAGGGAAAAUUACGCUAAUACCGCAUACGACCUACGGGUGAAAGCAGGGGAUCCUCGGACCUUGCGCGAUUGAAUGAGCCGAUGUCGGAUUAGCUAGUUGGCGGGGUAAAGGCCCACCAAGGCGACGAUCCGUAGCUGGUCUGAGAGGAUGAUCAGCCACACUGGAACUGAGACACGGUCCAGACUCCUACGGGAGGCAGCAGUGGGGAAUAUUGGACAAUGGGCGCAAGCCUGAUCCAGCCAUACCGCGUGGGUGAAGAAGGCCUUCGGGUUGUAAAGCCCUUUUGUUGGGAAAGAAAAGCAGCAGGUUAAUACCCCGCUGUUCUGACGGUACCCAAAGAAUAAGCACCGGCUAACUUCGUG
This 492-nucleotide ribosomal RNA is filed under the name uncultured bacterium. RNAcentral's name for it is "partial 16S ribosomal RNA". It matches the Rfam family "Bacterial small subunit ribosomal RNA", at positions 29 to 507 of the family's 1533-position model. The record is from RNAcentral.